UACGAAGGGUGCUAGCGUUGUUCGGAAUUACUGGGCGUAAAGCGCGUGUAGGCGGGUCGUUAAGUCGGGGGUGAAAGCCCAGAGCUCAAAUCUGGAACUGCCUUCGCGACUGGCGACCUGGACCCAAGGAGAGGCGAGGUGAAUUCCGAGUGUAGAGGUGAAAUUCGUAGAUAUUCGGAGGAACCCCAGUGGCGAAGGCGGCUCGCUGGACUUGUGGUGACGCUGAGACGCGAAAGCGUGGGGGGCACACAGG
This 253-nucleotide ribosomal RNA is filed under the name uncultured bacterium. RNAcentral's name for it is "partial 16S ribosomal RNA". It matches the Rfam family "Bacterial small subunit ribosomal RNA", at positions 524 to 776 of the family's 1533-position model. The record is from RNAcentral.